UCGUUAAACUAACUACUGUGGAUGCAGUAACUGUUGUAAGUCAGUACAAAUAGUGAACAACGA
RNAcentral lists this non-coding RNA (63 nucleotides) under unclassified sequences. The record is from RNAcentral.